GAGGCGGGAGGAUGGCUUGAGUCCAGGAGUUUGAAGUGGCAGUAAGCUGUGAUCAUACCACUGCACUCCAGCCUGGGCAACAGAGCGAGA
RNAcentral lists this microRNA precursor (90 nucleotides) under Carlito syrichta (Philippine tarsier). Its description in RNAcentral is "miRNA (ENSTSYG00000037248.1)". The record is from RNAcentral. Lineage: Eukaryota; Metazoa; Chordata; Mammalia; Primates; Tarsiidae.